GAUGAACGCUGGCGGCGUGCCUAAUACAUGCAAGUCGAGCGAACAGAUAAGGAGCUUGCUCCUUUGAAGUUAGCGGCGGACGGGUGAGUAACACGUGGGUAACCUACCUAUAAGACUGGGAUAACUUCGGGAAACCGGAGCUAAUACCGGAUAACAUUUAGAACCGCAUGGUUCUAAAGUGAAUGAUGGUUUUGCUAUCACUUAUAGAUGGACCCGCGCCGUAUUAGCUAGUUGGUAAGGUAACGGCUUACCAAGGCGACGAUACGUAGCCGACCUGAGAGGGUGAUCGGCCACACUGGAACUGAGACACGGUCCAGACUCCUACGGGAGGCAGCAGUAGGGAAUCUUCCGCAAUGGGCGAAAGCCUGACGGAGCAACGCCGCGUGAGUGAUGAAGGGUUUCGGCUCGUAAAACUCUGUUAUUAGGGAAGAACAAAUGUGUAAGUAACUGUGCACAUCUUGACGGUACCUAAUCAGAAAGCCACGGCUAACUACGUGCCAGCAGUCGCGGUAAUACGUAGGUGGCAAGCGUUAUCCGGAAUAAUGGGCGUAAGCGCGCGUAGGCGGUUUCUUAGUCUGAUGUGAAAGCCCACGGCUCAACCGUGGAGGGUCAUUGGAAACUGGGAAACUUGAGUGCAGAAGAGGAAAGUGGAAUUCCAUGUGUAGCGGUGAAAUGCGCAGAGAUAUGGAGGAACACCAGUGGCGAAGGCGACUUUCUGGUCUGUAACUGACGCUGAUGUGCGAAAGCGUGGGGAUCAAACAGGAUUAGAUACCCUGGUAGUCCACGCCGUAAACGAUGAGUGCUAAGUGUUAGGGGGUUUCCGCCCCUUAGUGCUGCAGCUAACGCAUUAAGCACUCCGCCUGGGGAGUACGACCGCAAGGUUGAAACUCAAAGGAAUUGACGGGGACCCGCACAAGCGGUGGAGCAUGUGGUUUAAUUCGAAGCAACGCGAAGAACCUUACCAAAUCUUGACAUCCUUUGAAAACUCUAGAGAUAGAGCCUUCCCCUUCGGGGGACAAAGUGACAGGUGGUGCAUGGUUGUCGUCAGCUCGUGUCGUGAGAUGUUGGGUUAAGUCCCGCAACGAGCGCAACCCUUAAGCUUAGUUGCCAUCAUUAAGUUGGGCACUCUAGGUUGACUGCCGGUGACAAACCGGAGGAAGGUGGGGAUGACGUCAAAUCAUCAUGCCCCUUAUGAUUUGGGCUACACACGUGCUACAAUGGACAAUACAAAGGGCAGCUAAACCGCGAGGUCAUGCAAAUCCCAUAAAGUUGUUCUCAGUUCGGAUUGUAGUCUGCAACUCGACUACAUGAAGCUGGAAUCGCUAGUAAUCGUAGAUCAGCAUGCUACGGUGAAUACGUUCCCGGGUCU
This 1369-nucleotide ribosomal RNA is filed under the name uncultured bacterium. RNAcentral's name for it is "bacterial SSU rRNA". It matches the Rfam family "Bacterial small subunit ribosomal RNA", at positions 28 to 1381 of the family's 1533-position model. The record is from RNAcentral.